RNAcentral lists this long non-coding RNA (856 nucleotides) under Brassica napus (rape). Its description in RNAcentral is "long non-coding RNA (BNAP_LNC015711)". Lineage: Eukaryota; Viridiplantae; Streptophyta; Magnoliopsida; Brassicales; Brassicaceae. The record is from RNAcentral.
UCUGAGUAUAUGAUUAGAAAGCGUUUCUUAAACAAAUAGCAAUUACCGAAGGAAAAUAAAAAAUUAGAUGGGGCACGUACCCAUACCUCUUCACCUGCGUUUGCCACUAACAUUACAUAUAUACAGUACCGGCCAUGGACAAAAGCAUUAGAAGCAUCUUCUUGCGGCCAUUAAUAAUAUAUAUCCAAGUUUUCGGCCAACAUAUUAUAAAUUGUCCGUAGCGCGGAUGGUUUAAGUAUAUAGCUGCUAUUUCACUUAGAGGGAUAGAGACGAAGAAGCCUAACUGGAGAGCCACAACUUCAUAAAAGAAGAGGAAAACUUUAGAGGGUCAUACUGAAGAUUUUUUAUUCUGUUUUUGAUGGAGAAUUUUAUCUUUUUAAUGAUUCCGCCAGUGAAGUGUGAUUGGUUAGGUCUUUUGUUUCGCUCAGACCAAAGAUUAUAGAAGGUGACCUGCCAAAAGAGUAGUAGGAGGGACCUUACAACCUUGUUUCAAGGGAAAUUCUCCAACUGGAGUAAUGGAGCAUUCCAAAUCUUUGGAGAAGGAAACUUAAAAAUGCAUGCCAAGACCCUUCAUACAGGCCAAGUGAAAAAGCAUUCGGGGAAACAAUGUGUAAUGGAUUCAUGAUCAGCAUUACAGAACAAGCAAUUUGGAUCUGUUUGAAAACCCAAAUUUAAGAGCCUAACACGAGUGGGGCAUCAAUUCCAGACCAGCAACCAUGUUAGAGACUUAUGUGAAAUGUCUAGGAAUUCUUCCAGAUAACCAUACCCUCUUUUUUUCCAGGAAACCAGAGGGGAUGAAUUUUAGAUCAAGUUAUACACCUCACUAGUUGAGAACCGAGUUCUAAGGAUGUUUCCU